Molecule: non-coding RNA, 793 nt
Organism: Pimephales promelas (fathead minnow)
Lineage: Eukaryota; Metazoa; Chordata; Actinopteri; Cypriniformes; Leuciscidae
Source: RefSeq, a predicted model, not a curated record
UUGUGUUUUUUUGUUGUUGUUGUUGUUUUAUAGUAUAGUAGUAUUGUACAAAAGGCCCGGAUACCUUUAAAUGUCCUGGACGAUUUCAACCAAUCAUAGAGUACAAGGUUGCCAUAGUGACAUUCGUGCUGAGGUGAAUUGGUGCUGAGGUGGAUUCAGUCGGAGAGAGAAGACGCAUCAUAAUUAUUAGUUAAGAUACUUGACAGUUUCAAUUUAGUUAAUCUGUAGUGUUCGACGAUUAUUCAGCUGGUUUACAUAUACAUUGAGUCGCUGUGUGCGUACAUACCAAAACCACACCUACAUACCCCAUAUGUAAAUCAACCAGCUCUUCAGUAAAUAAGUGAAGUUUGAACCCUGCCUGGUGUGUCUGUUCAACUAAGCCUCAUCUUAUACAGUUCUGACCGACUGCCUGCUGCGUUUCACAUCCUUUAAAAUUAGUCUACUAUCGAACCUCUUCAUUUCAAUGGUCCUUCGAGCCGGAGCGUGAAUCACAGCAGAGAGAUGACAUCCCACUUUGAGCCAGACACUCCUGUUGUUCGACCUAGACGACAGAUAAGGCUGCCUGCACAUCUAGCAGAUUAUCAAGUUACUGAUUCAACGAAUAUGAAGAGAGCGUUACCUCUGUUUCCUCCAACUGCUGAGAGUGUGUCACAAUCAUCUUCUCCAGAGAGCCAGUCACCGUAUCCAGAUGGCCUACUACUAUGUGAUGAAUGGCCAGAUUUAGCAGAAGAUGUGGCACCAGAGUAUAAUGAGCCCCGCCAAGACCAGCAUCUCUUUGAUAUUAAAGCUAUGU